RNAcentral lists this ribosomal RNA (690 nucleotides) under uncultured eukaryote. RNAcentral's name for it is "eukaryotic LSU rRNA". The stretch from base 220 to 373 matches the Rfam family "5.8S ribosomal RNA". The record is from RNAcentral.
GCGCCCUCUGCAGGCCCCCCACCAGGGAAUUGCCCGGCGCGGAAAACACUCGUUCGGCCUACGGGUCGGGGGUGGGGGACCAGCGGGACGUCGCGCCCUUUUCCCUCGGGAAAGGAAGUGCACCGGUCGGCCACCCCCUGUCCAACCCACAACCCAAACCACAAAACAACUGAAGCCAAAGCGGGUCUGCUCGAAAGGGCGCCGCACCAAACAAAAGACAACUCUCAACAACGGAUAUCUUGGCUCCCGCAUCGAUGAAGAAGGCAGCGAAAUGCGAUACGUAGUGUGAAUUGCAGAAUUCCGUGAAUCAUCGAAUCUUUGAACGCAUAUUGCGCUCGAGACUUCGGUCGGGAGCAUGUCUGUCUCAGCGUCGGCUCACCCCUCGUCCCUCCCCUUUCAUUGCAAAGGAGAACGGGCGGACGUGGCCGUCUCGCUGCUGUUAAUUUUUAAUUAAUCGGCGGCGGGUCGGCUGAAGUGCAGGGCUCGCGGCGCGACUCUCUCAAAAGAGCGCCAGCAUGGUAGGUGGCUUCACGCUGCAUGCCGCUGUCGUUCGACUGCAGAGGGCUCCAAUGCCGCUCGGCCAUAAGCAGGAAUUUUUUCUGACGCUUUCGGGCAAAAGAAAAUUCAAACCUUCGACCUGAGAUCAGACAAGACCACCCGCUGAACUUAAGCAUAUCAAUAAGCGGAGGA